This is a non-coding RNA of Gasterosteus aculeatus aculeatus (three-spined stickleback), 763 nucleotides long. The record is from RefSeq and is a predicted model, not a curated record. Lineage: Eukaryota; Metazoa; Chordata; Actinopteri; Perciformes; Gasterosteidae.
AGCGGGACGAGGAAGACGCGGAGACCUCACUGCUCCGUGUGUGUGAAAACUGCAAAUAAAGACCUAUUGUAUUGCAACCAACCCUGCCGUGUCGUGCUGUCUCUGCGCCCCGAGAACCUACAUCCGUGACAUACAUAUUUUAGUAAAAGCUGGGAGAAGUUUGGUCUGUCUGCAAAAAAUGAAGAUCCUUGGCUCUACUACGAUGGUAUGACUGAUGAGGAAAUUCUAGAAUGUACUGUGGCCUUGAAGAAGAAGAGCUACAAAAGCAUCAGGAGCAGGUGAGGCACCAAGCAGCCAGCAUACCUCUAUUCCAGACAACCAUGCACAAGCUGAGAGGAACAAGAUCCAAGAUCUGAAAAAAAAGCAUCUGACAACCAGCCACACAUCAGAGACUGAGAUCCAGAGAAAUAGCAGAAAUAGAAGAAUGUUGGAAUGAAAUAGAGGAAUCUUGGCCUCCAUGAGAAAAUACAUAAAACCAUACAGGAGACAGACAAUGGUAGAGAGAGGGGCUCGGAAAAGAGGCUGCAGGACCUACCAGGACAACGGUGAAGGAGAAAGCUGCCAGGGAUCAGGGGACCCACAGUAACCCAACAACAGAAGAUUACCAAUGAAGUAAAAACACAUAGUUGUGCAAUCAUUGUAUAACUCCUUUUCAUUAUAGUCUGGAGGUGAUUGCGAUAAUGUUGUAUUAUUGCUGCUGUUCCUCUUCCUCUUCUCCUUUUACAAAUUAUUAUUAUUGUCUCUUUUUGAAGGUUAUUCUUUU